ACAACAUUUGGACCGUCGGUCUACCGAGCAAUAUUAUCACCCGCUCGGUGGAAGAUCUUCCCUUUGUCAU
Molecule: microRNA precursor, 70 nt
Filed under: Bombyx mori (domestic silkworm)
Lineage: Eukaryota; Metazoa; Arthropoda; Insecta; Lepidoptera; Bombycidae
Description: mir-2774 microRNA precursor family
Rfam family: mir-2774 microRNA precursor family
Source: Rfam by way of RNAcentral